RNA transcript from Lutra lutra (Eurasian river otter), 2989 nucleotides. It is a transcript of the gene named family with sequence similarity 78 member B, with no coding region annotated. The transcript has 3 exons. The record is from RefSeq and is a predicted model, not a curated record. Lineage: Eukaryota; Metazoa; Chordata; Mammalia; Carnivora; Mustelidae.
CGUCGGGGCGGCGGGGACCCCGCGCUGCGGCCAGAGGAGGGGGCUUCCCCGAAGGAUGCCCGGCGGCGGCUCCCCGCUCCCGGGCGCGAGCUGAGCCGGACCCGGAGCGGGCGGCGCGUCGCCAUGCCGGCGUGACGGGCGCCCCCGGCUGCCCGCGCGGGCCCCCGCGCUGCCCCACGCCGCGCCGCGCCGGCGCCGGGCGGCAGGAUGGGCUGUAUCCAAAGCAUCACCUGCAAGGCGCGGAUCCGGCGCGAGAACAUCGUGGUGUACGAUGUGUGCGCCACCAUCGACCAGUGCCCCACGCGCAUCGAGGAGACCUCGCCCAUCGUCCUGCGCUACAAGACCCCCUACUUCAAAGCCUCGGCCCGCGUGGUCAUGCCCCCCAUCCCCCGCCACGAGACCUGGGUGGUGGGCUGGAUCCAGGCGUGCAACCAGAUGGAGUUCUUCAACACCUACAGCGACCUGGGCAUGUCAAGCUGGGAACUACCUGACUUGAGGGAAGGGAGAGUAAAAGCCAUCAGUGACUCAGAUGGGGUGAGCUACCCUUGGUACGGGAACACCACGGAAACUGUGACCCUGGUUGGUCCCACGAACAAGAUCUCCAGGUUCUCCGUCAGCAUGAAUGACAACUUCUACCCAAGUGUGACAUGGGCAGUGCCAGUGAGUGACAGCAAUGUACCACUGCUCACAAGGAUCAAGAGGGACCAAAGUUUCACUACCUGGCUGGUGGCCAUGAAUACCACCACGAAGGAGAAGAUCAUUCUACAGACCAUCAAGUGGAGGAUGAGGGUGGACAUUGAGGUGGACCCUCUUCAGCUCUUGGGGCAACGGGCCCGGCUGGUGGGCAGGACUCAGCAGGAGCAGCCCCGGAUCCUGAGCCGGAUGGAACCCAUCCCCCCUAAUGCACUAGUGAAACCCAAUGCCAACGAUGCCCAGGUCCUCAUGUGGAGGCCCAAGCGAGGACCACCUCUGGUUGUGAUCCCUCCUAAGUAGACGCAGACUGGCCUGACUGUGUGCAGAGCACAUGGCGCUAUGACAUGCAGUGAGGUUGCCAGGGGUGGCAGGAGCCAAACUGAGUUUCUGAGCCAAAGCAGACCUCUUGGUUUGCCAGCCUUUGCAGCCACUUACGAAGAGCAGGCCUGCUUCUGGGGCGGCAGAACCAUAAUCCUUAGGAAAAGUCCCUUCCUUUUAGGAAUAAAGAAAUCACUGAUUUGACAGACUUGCUGUGAUUACCAUGCAAGUAGCCAUAUUUCGGAGCUGACCAGGAUGAUUCUUUUACCUGAACUAUUGACCAUUUCUUUCCUGUGAGAUGCAGGGGAUGGAAACAAAAUUAAACAGUGCCUGUGGCAAAUGCUGCUUUCCAACCAAUUAGAAGUGGGAGUGAAAACAUCCACACCAGGUGUCACCUAGUAGGACAAGGCACGUCCAGCAAGCAGAACCACAUGGCAGAAACUAAAGAGGAGGAAGUGAGCCAUGGCUGGUGGUUCUAGAAGCGGAAGACCUGGACAGCUGAUUUCCCAUUAAAACGAGUGCCAUUCUAACUAUCUCCUAGCCAUCCUCCCACCCCAGGACCUGUAGCCCCUCCUACCCCACGACGGGUCAUGCAGCACUCCCCAUGGACUGGCUGGGCUGGCUGCUUGGCCCUUGGUGGGCUGCGCUGAAGUGGGAGCUGUGCCUGCUGUAUCUCUGUGUGUGAAAAGAUUGGGUCCAUCCAGAUCUCAAGUCCAUCCCUGACCCUCUGAGUGAAGCUGCCCAGGGAGAAAGAGCUGGUCAGCCUGGACUUCAGACACCUAACAUGGCCCAGCCCUGGUUUCCAAACUCUUGCCUUCCUUCCCUACACUUUUGGGUGGGAAACAGAGGGAAGGCGUAUCUCCCCUUUUCCUCCCUUCUCCACAUUGGGGGGCCAAUGUGGAUACUCUUCUUGAGAUUUCUCUGAUCCUUGGAGCUAGGGCCAAAGCAGUCCUGCUUCCCCGGCAUGACCAGGCUGGGUGUCUUCAGGGGACCAAGGGCAAAGUGCCUGUCAGCAGGAUUGAUGGGGAGAGGGGAGAGCCACCCUAAGAGGGCAAAAACGGUGUGCAUUGUUUUAUUUAUUGGUUUAUUGAUUGGCUUGCUUUCUGGUUGAUUCAUUUAGGAAAUAUGUAUUUAUUAUACAGCAGAAAACCCACUUUCAUCUUUGAGGCAUCCAGCCCCAGAAUCUGUCUUCUUGGCCCCAUAGAGCACAGUGAGUGACUCCUCUCCGAAGCCACAGAAAAAAGGGGGCGGGAUUCUCUCUCUGUACCCAAACACUUCCACCCCAACCCGAUUUUCAGCCAGAAGAGGGGUUAGAAACCACCAGUUCUAGUCAUGAUAAAGCCACACAAAUCAGCAAACAGAGGGUCAGCUGUCCAAAUAGAAGCUCCCAGCAGCCCGUCCCCUCUCCCGGCCCUCUAUGCAUUGUGGGGGGGCAUCUCGGAUCUAGACUUCUCCUUCUGCUCUGCGGCCACCUUCCAAAGGCCACAUGCACAUGAGAGAUGCCUGAGGAGUUUAAAAAUCAUCCAUACCCUGUCCCCUCCCCAACUCAUUACAGCACAAUCUGGGGCUAGAGCCUAGACGUGGGCAUUUUUAAAAGUACCCUGUAUGAUCCUAAUGUGAAGCUAGGCUUGGGAAGCGCUUCUAGUGUUUUUUCCCUUCAUCCCUCCCGUCCAUUCACAUCCUUUAUCCUCUACUUCCGGAGCUUUCUGCCUCACCAAGAAUGGGAGCGGCCACUGGGGAAUGAGAACUCUCUUCCCACUUCUCCAGUCCCUCCUCCUCACUCAACCUACCCAUCAGGUCAACCAGCCUGAGUAGAUCCCCAGAGAGUUGGCAGGUCCCAGCAUUUUGCACCCCAAGGCUGGUGCCUGCACCCAGCCCAGGGGCUCUCAAACCGUGUCCAGCUUUCCUAGGAACAAAACCUACUCCCCGCCAGAUUCUCUCUCCACCUGCCCUGCACUCCCCAACUCCAGAGGUUUAA